RNAcentral lists this ribosomal RNA (695 nucleotides) under Lactobacillus delbrueckii subsp. bulgaricus. RNAcentral describes it as "partial 23S ribosomal RNA". It matches the Rfam family "Bacterial large subunit ribosomal RNA", at positions 754 to 1452 of the family's 2925-position model. The record is from RNAcentral. Lineage: Bacteria; Bacillati; Bacillota; Bacilli; Lactobacillales; Lactobacillaceae.
CGGUAAAACGCGCUGGAGGACCGAACCCACGUAAGUUGAAAAUUGCGGGGAUGAGUUGUGGGUAGCGGUGAAAUUCCAAACGAACUUGGAGAUAGCUGGUUCUCUCCGAAAUAGCUUUAGGGCUAGCCUCGCAAAGAGGAUGCUGGAGGUAGAGCUCUGUUUGGACUAGGGGCCCGUCAAGGGUUACUGAAUUCAGAUAAACUGCGAAUUCCAGACAUUUAUGUGCGGGAGUCAGACUGCGAGUGAUAAGAUCCGUAGUCGAAAGGGAAACAGCCCAGAUCACCAGUUAAGGUCCCAAAAUUCAUGCUAAGUGGAAAAGGAUGUGGAGUUGCGCAGACAACUAGGACGUUGGCUCAGAAGCAGCCAUCAUUCAAAGAGUGCGUAAUAGCUCACUAGUCGAGUGACGCCGCGCCGAAAAUUUACCGGGGCUAAGCAUGAUACCGAAACUGUGGAUGUGCAUUUAUGCACGUGGUAGGAGAGCGUUCUAGCGGCGGUGAAGCAUGACCGAGAGGACAUGUGGAGCUUCUAGAAGUGAGAAUGCCGGUAUGAGUAACGAAAGACAGGUGAGAAUCCUGUCCGCCGCAAGACUAAGGUUUCCUGGGGCAGGCUCGUCCGCCCAGGGUAAGUCGGGACCUAAGGCGAGGCCGAGAGGCGUAGUCGAUGGACAACAGGUUGAAAUUCCUGUACUGCACCGA